AGAGUUUGAUCAUGGCUCAGGACGAACGCUGGCGGCGUGGAUUAGGCAUGCAAGUCGAACGAGAAAGUUUUCCUUCGGGAGAGCGAGUACAGUGGCGGACUGGUGAGUAACGCGUAGGUAAUCUGCCUUUAAGUGGGGGAUAGCCCUCGGAAACGGGGAUUAAUACCGCAUGUGUUCCUUCGGGAAUAAAGGCGGCCUCUGAUAUAAGCUGUCGCUUAAAGAUGAGCCUGCGUCCUAUUAGCUAGUUGGUGCGGUAAUGGCGUACCAAGGCGAUGAUUGGUAGGCGUCCUUAACGGGUGGUCGCCCACACUGGGAUUGAGAUACUGCCCAGACUCCUACGGGAGGCAGCAGUCGAGAAUAGUCUACAAUGGACGAAAGUCUGAUAGUGCAACGCCGCGUGGGUGAAGAAGCAUUUCGGUGUGUAAAACCCUUUUCUUUGUGAGCAAUGCCUUUAUGGUUAAUAGCUAUAGGGGAGAGAUAUUAGCAGAGGAAUAAGCCACGGCUAACUCCGUGCCAGCAGCCGCGGUAAUACGGGGGUGGCAAGCGUUGUCCGGAAUCACUAGGCGUAAAGGGCAAGUAGGCGGAAUAAACAGUCAGGUGUUAAAGGCAUUGNCUCAACCAAUGUACGGCAUUUGAUACUUUUAUUCUAGAAUUUGACAUGGNAANACAGAANUCCUGGUGUAGCGGUGGAAUG
This 694-nucleotide ribosomal RNA is filed under the name uncultured bacterium. Its description in RNAcentral is "bacterial SSU rRNA". It matches the Rfam family "Bacterial small subunit ribosomal RNA", at positions 8 to 688 of the family's 1533-position model. The record is from RNAcentral.